This 2761-nucleotide long non-coding RNA is filed under the name Homo sapiens (human). RNAcentral's name for it is "HSALNT0305423". The record is from RNAcentral. Lineage: Eukaryota; Metazoa; Chordata; Mammalia; Primates; Hominidae.
CCACAUUUCCGCACAGGUCCUCUGCAGAUGGCAGAGCCCUUUCUCUAAAUGCAUGGCAUGAAAAGGCAUUUCAAAGGUUGGAAAGAGAGCUUCAGCAUUAAUCAUGAUGGGAUAGCGGAAACUGGCUUUGCAAGGGAUGGACUGGACUUCAGGGAAGAUGGACAGCCUGAGCUCACUUUCAGGAGAGCUCACUUUCAGGAGAUCAGUCAGGGCUGUCAUUCCAGGGCCUGGGUGGAGGGCUUCUGCUGUGCCAGGGAACAGGUGUCUGGACUCGGUCUCCCAGGGGAGAAGCAGGCCCCCCACAAAGGACAUAAAUCUCUACAGAUGAGGAUACCUCACUGGGCUUUUGUUUGUCAGCCAAAAAGGGAAAAACAUUUCAGCAGAGGCCUCAAAGGCAGAACAAAAUAGUGCAAGGAGCCGCACAUCCGCACAGUGCUGAGACCCUGCCCAGGACAAGCUUGACAAAAAAGAAGAAAAUUGGGUCUUGUUAUGUUGCCCAGGCUGGUCUCCAACUCCUGGCCUCAAGUGAUCCUCCCAGCUUGUCCUUCCAAAGUGUUGGGAUUAUAGGUGUGAGCCACUGUGCCUGGCCAUGUCUGAAUGUUGAAUGUUGACAGCUUCAGUGAAUUGACCCCUCUUUCACCUAUGGGACUUAUGAAGAGAGAAUCUUUCUGGCAUUGCAUAAUCCUUCCCAAGAGUACUUUAGCUGUGGUAACCCUUCUUGUUAUAAAACAUGCCAGCAGAUCCUGGCACCCAAGUGACAACCUGCAUUGAAAAGGCGGAACUUGGCUCUCCUGCCCUGCCAGCUGUAAGAGCUUGAAAGCAAAGCUAUGGGGGGAAUGUCUUUCAUUUCCCCCUGGAAGCUGGGAGGACGUUCAGCUUAGCAUUGCCAACUGUGUAAUGUGGACUUGCCUCUAAAAGAAGCCUUUUUCCUUGGAUGUCUUUCAGGCCGCAGUAUUCCCUUUGGCACCCCCACCCACCUGGAACAAAGCCUGAUGUAAAGUCUGGGUGCGACUCAGACCGGCCUGGGAAAGAAUUUAUUUAAUAAAUGGUGGAAAGUGGCUUCCUUGACGUGUCUUCGAUGGCUUUUUUAUAAAGCAUUUGGUUUGUCUACUCGUCUGUUUUUGCGCCAUCUCUUUCCACAAAGAUGGCUUAUAGCAGGGAUACUUACAACAAAAUGAUGCUGGGAAAACAAAAACAAAGAAGUAGAGAAUUAGGCCUGAGAAAACUAGGAGUAGAGAGUCACGAUUAGAUACAGAGGAGCAUAGAUGUGUAGUCUAGGAAGGCCAACUAAUUGUUAUAGCUGAAAUUCAAAUUCAGUUAGCUAAAAUGUUCCUAGUGUCAAAGGAAGAAUGGGCCACACAGUUGCAUAAUCCUUAGUAUUAGGGAGAAGGAAAAGGUUCCAGUUAUUCAGAGGGAUGUUCUCUUGCCUUAUUCCUUUAAUAAGUAUCUGUUAAAGGCCCACCAUGUGCCAAGCACCAUGCCCGGCAAGCACUGCACUCACCCCCCAGGAACUCAGUGUCUAAAGGAGACUGGGUGAAAGAACUAUAUUUGUGUGCCUAUGAUGUGUCAAAUACUAUGCAUUUAGUUAUGCAGUUACUGUAUGUUAGACACUAUGCAUUUAAUUAUUUACCUGCUGUAUAUCAGACACCAUGCAUUUUCAUUUAACCCUCAUAAGCACUUACAUCAAGUAGACACUGUUACCUCUUUUUUACAGAUGAGAAAACAGAGUCUCUUCCCGCAGCUGGUCAUCUGGCGUAACUUGCUCCUUUCCCACCCCAGGACUGUCAUCUCAGGGAGCCUGUUCUGGUGACUUCUGGAAAGGCCUGGACUCCUUUGUUCCAUGGAGUCAUCAGGUAACUACGAAGAGUCCUCAGUUUGCUUUUCCCCAGCGCCUUGUCGAGCUUCCUUGGGUGUCCCAGGUCUUGCUGUGUUCAGUGCGGCUUGGGUCAUACUUGGUCUUCUUGGGCAAUGACAAAGGUGGCUUUUAGUUAGGGAAGGAAGACAGCCUCAGAAGGGAGAAGCCUAUCAGUAUUUCAAGCCCCAGGCGAUGUGAAAAACUGAGCCUUUGUUUGGGAGUGUCAGCCCCCAGGACUUGCGUGUUUCUGCCCUGAAGCGUUUUCUGCUUUCUGAAGGCUGCAGUUCUCUUCCUCGUUUUAUUGACUGCCUACGUGCCAGGGGCUUUGUGAAUAUUACCGCACUGAAAUUCCCAAUACCCAGCAAGAAGGCAUUAUUAUCCUUAUUUUACAGAUGAGAAAAUAGAGAUUAAACAACUUACUUAACUGUUUGAACUCCGUGGGGCACAAACAUGAAAUGAUUCUAUUUUUUCUCCAGAUCUUUUUAGAGAUUUAUACCAAAUCUCCUUUUCAUAAUUCCAUAGCUUUUUGGUUGUUUUUAGGUAUUAAAAAACCCCUAUGGUCCAGUCCACUUUCUUUUCAAAGCCUCAAAUCUUGAAUCCGAUAUCAUAUCCACUGCCUGCGCUUCCCUCAGACCAGCCUGCCUCGAGCCAGGCACCUAUCGUGAGGGUGGGGUGGUCGGUCUUCAUCCCUCUCCUCCCUCUUUUGGUGCCUCUCUCUUCCUGUGCUUGGGGACUUGGGGAAGAGGAGGGAGUGCAAUGGGGAAGAUAAUCUUUUCGCUUCACUGGGCAUUUGAUCGUAGCCUCUUCUUUGCAGGUUUUGUGGGUUCUCUACUGCUGUUCUCAAGAUGGCAGGUGUUGGGCCGGGCGUGGUGGCUCACGCCUGUAACCCCAGCACUUUGGGAGGCG